RNAcentral lists this ribosomal RNA (924 nucleotides) under uncultured bacterium. Its description in RNAcentral is "bacterial SSU rRNA". It matches the Rfam family "Bacterial small subunit ribosomal RNA", at positions 1 to 916 of the family's 1533-position model. The record is from RNAcentral.
GAAUUCGCCCUUAGAGUUUGAUCCUGGCUCAGGACGAACGCUGGCGGCGUGCCUAACACAUGCAAGUCGAACGGAACUUUUUUAAAAGAUUUCUUCGGAAUGAUUUUGAUUAAGUUUAGUGGCGGACGGGUGAGUAACGCGUGAGUAACCUGCCUCUAAGAGGGGAAUAACAUUCUGAAAAGAAUGCUAAUACCGCAUAACAUAUAUUUAUCGCAUGGUAGAUAUAUCAAAGAUUUAUCGCUUAGAGAUGGACUCGCGUCCGAUUAGUUAGUUGGUGAGGUAACGGCUCACCAAGACUGCGAUCGGUAGCCGGACUGAGAGGUUGAACGGCCACAUUGGGACUGAGACACGGCCCAGACUCCUACGGGAGGCAGCAGUGGGGGAUAUUGCGCAAUGGGGGAAACCCUGACGCAGCAACGCCGCGUGAAGGAUGAAGGUCUUCGGAUUGUAAACUUCUUUUAUUAAGGACGAAGAAAGUGACGGUACUUAAUGAAUAAGCUCCGGCUAACUACGUGCCAGCAGCCGCGGUAAUACGUAGGGAGCAAGCGUUGUCCGGAUUUACUGGGUGUAAAGGGUGCGUAGGCGGCUUUGCAAGUCAGAUGUGAAAUCUAUGGGCUCAACCCAUAGCCUGCAUUUGAAACUGCAGAGCUUGAGUGAAGUAGAGGCAGGCGGAAUUCCCCGUGUAGCGGUGAAAUGCGUAGAGAUGGGGAGGAACACCAGUGGCGAAGGCGGCCUGCUGGGCUUUAACUGACGCUGAGGCACGAAAGCGUGGGUAGCAAACAGGAUUAGAUACCCUGGUAGUCCACGCUGUAAACGAUGAUUACUAGGUGUGGGGGGUCUGACCCCUUCCGUGCCGGAGUUAACACAAUAAGUAAUCCACUUGGGGAGUACGGCCGCAAGGUUGAAACUCAAAUGAAUUGACGG